Molecule: ribosomal RNA, 253 nt
Filed under: uncultured bacterium
Lineage: Bacteria
Description: partial 16S ribosomal RNA
Rfam family: Bacterial small subunit ribosomal RNA
Source: RNAcentral
UACGGAGGGUGCAAGCGUUAUCCGGAUUCACUGGGUUUAAAGGGUGCGUAGGUGGGUUGGUAAGUCAGUGGUGAAAUCCCCGAGCUUAACUUGGGAACUGCCAUUGAUACUAUUAAUCUUGAAUACCGUGGAGGUUAGCGGAAUAUGUCAUGUAGCGGUGAAAUGCUUAGAUAUGACAUAGAACACCAAUUGCGAAGGCAGCUGGCUACACGAAUAUUGACACUGAUGCACGAAAGCGUGGGGAGCAAACAGG